RNAcentral lists this transfer RNA (73 nucleotides) under Camelus bactrianus (Bactrian camel). It matches the Rfam family "tRNA". From Rfam's summary of the family: Transfer RNA (tRNA) molecules are approximately 80 nucleotides in length. Their secondary structure includes four short double-helical elements and three loops (D, anti-codon, and T loops). Lineage: Eukaryota; Metazoa; Chordata; Mammalia; Artiodactyla; Camelidae. The record is from Rfam by way of RNAcentral. RNAcentral also lists the same sequence under 2 other names.
GUGGGUAUAGCUUAGUGGUAGAACACAUGCCUAGCAUACACAAGUGCCCUGGGUUCAAUCCCCAGUACCUCCA